UGAGCUUUGAAAGGGGAAAUCAGUAGCGCCGCAGAGAGCAAAUCAGUGACCCCAUUCCUGUGACUUCGUCUUCUUCGCUCCACCCAUCGACCACCCUGUAUCUUCAACGUAGCUUCACCCACCUCCAUCGCCACCAGUCACCCACAGAUGCAAAUACAGUGAAGGGGAAACGGAAGAGGAAAUGGAGGUGUAGACAGCUGAUUUUCGUUUCAUAAUUUAGUUUUCUUCCCAUUUUCGAUUUAGAAACCAUGGAAUCGACGGGGUUUGAUUGGGUUCGUUCCAAUGCCGAUUCGAGUUUCUGUUUGAGGUUCGGCAUCGGAUUGUGAGUUCGAUUCCAUCCGCUGCUUAAGGUUCGCGGUUUCUGCUGAUCUUUCGCCGCUGAUUUCGCUUGGAUUUAGGGUCGAAAUUUUGUACUCGACAAUUCUUCCACCAAUAUUAAGGAAAUCUUUGUUUGAACAGGUACAUAUUCCCUAAGCUAUGUAAUCUGAUGCUCAAGUGGAAAUGAAAUGAAGGAAUGGAAGGUUUUUUGGAGUUUAUGGUGUUCAGUCAUGUUUAAACUAUUGUUUGCAUCAUUUCCUUAUGUAAAUCUUAGCUGUGAGUUUGUUUGGUUUUGAGUGCAUCUGAGAGCUAUAUAUUUGCUAGUUCAGUUUAUUUACGUUAGAUCUAGUCUUCUCAUGCAUCAAGCAUCCAAGCUCACUUAUGUAUAGCUUGAGGUGUAGCACAUUGGUUAAAGGUUGUUUACAGUAUGCCUGUUAGUUCAAGCUACAAGUGAAUCUGAGUCUAUAAUCAGAGUUGAGACUCUUCUAUUUUUGGUUGGUUUUAAGAUUUGCAUCUGGUAUUGUCAGAAUUCUGUGUGAGUCCUCGGAUUUGUCUGAAAGUAGUUACAAUUCAAAGAAUUACUUAAGAGCUGUAUUUGUAAUAAUGUUCAGGCCAGUUUUAAGCCAUUCGUUGUUGUGAACAUUCUGUGAUUAAACUGAUGCUUGAAAUCAUGAUUGUUAAAGGUCAA
Molecule: long non-coding RNA, 1006 nt
Organism: Nicotiana attenuata
Lineage: Eukaryota; Viridiplantae; Streptophyta; Magnoliopsida; Solanales; Solanaceae
Exons: 2
Source: RefSeq, a predicted model, not a curated record